Molecule: long non-coding RNA, 4538 nt
Organism: Toxorhynchites rutilus septentrionalis
Lineage: Eukaryota; Metazoa; Arthropoda; Insecta; Diptera; Culicidae
Exons: 5
Source: RefSeq, a predicted model, not a curated record
UCGUUAAGGAGGAGUAUGUGAAUACGAGCGUAAACGUUUUGUUGUGUACUCCUUUGAGAGAGAGAGAGGGAGAACCUGUGUUGAUUGAGUUUCGUGAUUAUGAGAAGAGGCAAACGAACCAAAACAACCUUCUAAAAAGGAUAUGUUUUGUGUCCGUUCCAUAAGUGAUAUUUAUUUAGUCACAGGCCGCAUGCCGCCGCUCGAGAGAGUAGACAGAGUAAUCACGUGUUAUCAGGAAUACGAUAUCUGAUAAUGGAGUAACAAUCGCAGGGCUAAGAAACAUUGGAAAUGGUUACUAUGGAGUGAAAGAAGAUAUAAAAGCAUCUGAUAGACACGGUAGAAGCAAAAUACUUUAUAAUUUUUCAAUAUGAUGUCAAAACAUUGAACCUACAUUUGGCUGACAGGAUGGAGAAAGCCCUUCCACAUACUGCGCGAUAAUAUGUGGCUUUUAAUGAGAUACAUCUUCUGUUGGAAUACUGGAACCGAUUACAAAUUGAAAACUGCACGAGAAGAGGUUGCAUGGAAGAGCACGGAUGCAUACAAAAUACAUCGAGCGAGCGUAACCGAUUUUUGACCAACAGAGAUUUUUUUACGGAGCAAUUUCAUGUUUAGACACGGUUGGGAAUGUCUCUGGGAUUCCACAUCGCAGCAGCUUUGACGGCCCAAUCAUCGAAAUUAAAUCUCUGCUUCAUCUGUUUUACCGACUCCGCAUGUUUUUAAUUUAUUACUCCUGUAAUCUGUACCGUACAGAAUCUGUACCAAGAAAAUCGAAGAAAUCUGCACCAUUCCAGUACCUAAAUGUGUGCGUGUUGUCACACUGGUUGUAAUUUAUAUCCAUACGGACGAAUGAAUUCUGAAUAAAAGUACUAAUGAAAAGAAAAGCAUUAAAUCGUUUGGUCGUUCACAAAUUAAACCGAUGGAUGAAAUUGUUGACGUCGGACUGCGUAUUUUAUUUCUAUAUAAGGGGGGUCAUUCUACCAAAAAUGUAAAGAAAAAUUAAAAGAUUUCAAAUGCACAGCUGAAUAUAACGUCAACGCCUGGCGAAAACUAGAAAAGUUAACGAUAUUGUCAUUCACAAGCAAAAUGCACGUGGCUUACUUUGGCAAUGUAUGUUUAUUUUUUUAUUUGAAACAAGGAUUGGUUUAUUUAUUUAUUUAUUUAUAAUAACAAUCAACAAACCUGGUCCUGGUCCUGGUCCAAAUGAUUUCAACUUAACCUAAUCAUAGUUAACACGUUAAGCCUCGAUUUUUUUCUUGCUGCGCUUUCCACUCAGCGCGCAUCGAGAGCGUUUGCACAAUGUCAGUAUCGGUCCCAGUUCUCAUUAUGGUAUAAAUAGAAAAUAGUCAGCAAUUCGACUAGGAAGCAGUCACAUUUUCUUGAAAAUCUGAAAGCAAACCGUAUAUGUUUUUAUUUUAUUAUUUUAUAACUGUCGGUCUCGGUCAGUCAUCACUUUCCUACCAAAAAGCUCAACGUCAGCCCCUAGGGACCGACUCUGGGCUCAACGUGUUAAGAACCGUUGCUUUAGCUUGUUCCUGGAGAAAUUUAAAUCAAAUACGGGGGAAUUGAAGAGGCGCGGCAAUCGCGUUAUUGCGGAAUGCAUGCCGUAGUUCGAUCGCCGGGAUAACAUUCGCAAGAAUUGUGCACUACACAAAUGUCGUUGAGAUCAGCAACAAACAAUGACUUCGUCUGGUAUGCAGAGAGUCCAAGUGGAUCAGCUAACUGCGGCCUAGCUUGGAAGCCGAAACGAAUCACGACAAGGCAGCAGUCGGAGAGCGUAUCUUGUAAAACGUCGUUGCACUGAUUCGAUUCAUGUGUUUUGAAAGCACGGAUUUCAGACGACGCUUCCAUACUCCAGGGAAAGAACCAGCGCGCAAUACAACGAUUUGAGGCAAUAAACAUCGGAGAAACUCUUGGAGACUCUCAUGAUGCAACCAAAGUUCCUUGAUGCCUUUCCAACGAUGUGUGAGAUGUGUUGCUUGAAUGUCAAUUUUGAAUCCAGAACCACUCCACAAUGCUAGCGGCAGUACUUCCCGGUUCCUGAUGACCAUCAUUGCUGUGCGUGGUGCGUUCUGCGCGAUUCGCGAAGAGCGUUGCCGAUUAAACGGUGUAGUGCUGAAACCAAGCAGCGAAUCACGGGUUGAUCUGAUCGAAAGAUAUCUGUACUUGGCUGACGAAACAGGCUGGACUUCCCCCAUCUCGGCCUAUCGAACAAAAGGCCGGGACGACUGCGGCAGAAACCGAUGAGAUAAGGUUCGACUGUGACGAGAGGAUAAGGGCCUCCAAAGAGCCUGUUUGUGUGCGUCCCGGAUUGACCUCGAUGAUUCUAAGACGAGUUCAGACGAGAUGACGUAGGAUCGUUUUUGACGUAGAACUACGUCUUUCAGGAAGGGUACCAAAUCAGAUUUCGGUCACGUUUUCAUGAAAUAAAGUUAACGUUAAUAACUAUUUUCACUGUGAACGAAUUCUCAUGGUUUGCAUACCAAUCGAAUCGGAAAUUCACUAAGAUUUGUUUGAUAUACUAUACAUUACAAUUCGCUAAUCUCUAAACGGUUUAAAUUCAUGAAAACUGGAAGAACUUCCUUUUUCCCAUACAUUUGUUCUGCCGAUUUGUGUGCUAGCCCUACCCGUAUUUCGAAUGCUUAUAACUCGAACAUUUCUUAAUAGAUCGGAAAGAUGUUUGCACUUUGCAAAUACUUUCAUUUCAGAUACUUGAGGUGAAUGAAGUUCACGGUUCGAGAACUACGUAAACAUGAGAUAAUUUCAGAGAGAAAUGUAAAAUACAAUGAUCGUUUGACAUUUUUUCCGUUCAAAUAUUUUGGUAGUUCUAGGCAUCAUAUCGUUUUCGUUUUCGUUUUUAUUAUUACAAUUAGCAACAGGCCUGAACAUUAGUGCCCUAAUGAUAAAUUUAAUUUAUACUAUUUACUUAUUGUCUAAGAGCGGUAUAAAAAGUCUUCUUUAAAUUAGAACGAGUAAGGUUGAAAUCAAAGGGUGUGAACCAACGGUUGAAGACGCGACACAUGCUUGAUACGGGUUCAUUAUACCCGUAAUUGGUACGUGAGGAGGGUAUAAAAAGAAAUGUGCGAGUGCGCAAAUUUCGUGAUGUUUUAUUGAAAUUAUUGGAAUCGAGAAGACCUGAACAGUCUAUAUUAGAGAGAAUUAGGUCAGAUAUGAAGGUCGCCUUAGCGACGUCCCUUCGCAAACUCAGUAAAUCGAACCCAAUCAACCUACAACGAGCUUCAUUGUUAGGAAGAUUCGAAGGAUCGUUCCAGGGUAAAUUACGUAGAGCGAAACGAACAAAUUUAUGCUGAAUUGCCUCGAUGCCCUGGACACCAUUCUGGUAGCAAGGCGACCAUACAACACAAGCAUACCCAAUGAUUGAGCGAACCAAUGCACAGUAGAGAGCUUUGAUACAGUGUUUGUCCUUCAAGUGUUUUGUGAUGCGGAAUAUGAAACCCAGGAGUCUGGAUGCUUUAGUGGUGAUAUACGAGAUGUUCUCUGUGAAUGUUAGUUUUUUUUUUUUAACUGUAUUAUAGUGACUUCCAACUCAUUUGGCUGGUUCGUCACUUUUACUUCCAUUUUUGGAAGAAUGUCGGGAGUGAGAAUUGAACUCGUGACCUUUAGCGUGAGAGGCAUGGAUGUUACCACUACGCCAGAUCGCCUCCACAAGUGAAUGUUAGUUUUGAAUCAAGGAUGACGCCAAGAUCCUUGAUGAUCUCAACGCGAUUUAAAUGCUCAUUGCGUAGUUUAUACGAAAAGACAAUAGGUGAAAGUAGGUGAACGCUUCCGCGAGAAUGAUAUGACUGAGCAUUUCGAUGGAUUCAAAACCAUUCUGUUGAUAUUGCACCAUUCAGGGAAAAGAUCGAGUUGAUUUUGUAAGUAUACUGCCUCGUUAGUGCAAUUUACGGAUGUAAAUAGCUUGAAAUCAUCAGCAUAUGCGAAUUUCUGACAUUUCACGCAAGAGUUAACAUGGUUGAGAUAAAGUAAGAAAAUGUAAGGACUAAGGUGACUACCUUGAAGUACUCCAGAUGUCACUUCGAAAGGAGAUGAUAUAGCGUCACCGAUUUUUACUGCCAUCAUGCGAUCUGUCAAGUAUGAAUGUAACCAGCUCAAAAAAGAGCCGUGAAAUCCAAGACGUUUGAGUUUAGCCACUGCGAUAGCAUGAUUGAUUUUAUCGAACGCGGCCGAAAAAUUAGUAUACACAGCGUCAAUUUACAAACGUGAUUGUAGAAAGCGGGCGAUAAUUGAUGUGUAUAAUACCAAAUUAGUUGAUGUGGACCGUUUGGAAACGAAACCGUGUUGUUGUUCGGAAAUAUAACUUCUGCAGGCAUGAGAGAUGAAAUCUAAAACUCUAAUUUCAUAUAAUUUUGUAACAGAACAAAGACUGGCGAUUCCUCUGUAGUUUUCUACAUCUUUCCUGUUGCCCUUUUUGUAGACUGGGAAAACAUGAAUUUUUCUAAGCACGUGGAAAUUUUCCAGAGGAUAAUGAGCGGUUGAAUAGCAGGCACAGCGCAGACGAAAGACUGGUAGAGCACUUUUUA